Cebus imitator (Panamanian white-faced capuchin) is the source of this 178-nucleotide small nuclear RNA. Its record names the gene U2. It matches the Rfam family "U2 spliceosomal RNA". From Rfam's summary of the family: U2 is a small nuclear RNA (snRNA) component of the spliceosome (involved in pre-mRNA splicing). The record is from Ensembl. Lineage: Eukaryota; Metazoa; Chordata; Mammalia; Primates; Cebidae.
AUAUCUUCUCAGCCUUUUGGCUAAGAUCAAGUGUAGUGUUUGUAUAUCUGAUGCUUCGUCUAUCCAAGGACAAUCUGUUAAAUGGAUUUUUGGAGCAGGGAGAUUGAAUAGCUCCUUGCUCCAUCUAUUCCAUGCAUUGACCUGGUAGUGCAGUACCUCCAGGAACUAUGCACCCCUU